AUUGAACGCUGGCGGCAUGCCUUACACAUGCAAGUCGAACGGCAGCACGGGAGCAAUCCUGGUGGCGAGUGGCGAACGGGUGAGUAAUGUAUCGGAACGUACCUUUCAGUGGGGGAUAACGUAGCGAAAGUUACGCUAAUACCGCAUAUUCUGUGAGCAGGAAAGCAGGGGAUCGCAAGACCUUGCGCUGAUUGAGCGGCCGAUAUCAGAUUAGCUAGUUGGUGAGGUAAAGGCUCACCAAGGCGACGAUCUGUAGCGGGUCUGAGAGGAUGAUCCGCCACACUGGAACUGAGACACGGUCCAGACUCCUACGGGAGGCAGCAGUAGGGAAUAUUGGACAAUGGGCGGAAGCCUGAUCCAGCCAUCCCGCGUGUAGGAAUAAGGCCCUAUGGGUUGUAAACUACUUUUAUUAGGGAAGAAAACUUUGAUUUAUCAGAGCUUGACGGUACCUAAGGAAUAAGCACCGGCUAACUCCGUGCCAGCA
Molecule: ribosomal RNA, 484 nt
Filed under: uncultured bacterium
Lineage: Bacteria
Description: bacterial SSU rRNA
Rfam family: Bacterial small subunit ribosomal RNA
Source: RNAcentral